RNAcentral lists this non-coding RNA (46 nucleotides) under Schistosoma mansoni. Lineage: Eukaryota; Metazoa; Platyhelminthes; Trematoda; Strigeidida; Schistosomatidae. The record is from RNAcentral.
GUACUGUUGAGGAGUCCCACCAUUGGACGAAACAGCCGUCCAGUGC